ACGGAAGGCAGCAGUGGGGAAUAUUGGGCAAUGGGCGAAAGCCUGACCCAGCAACGCCGCGUGAAGGAAGAAGGUUUUCGGAUUGUAAACUUCUUUUAUCAGGGACGAAGAAAGUGACGGUACCUGAUGAAUAAGCCACGGCUAACUACGUGCCAGCAGCCGCGGCAAUACGUAGGUGGCAAGCGUUAUCCGGAUUUACUGGGUGUAAAGGGCGCGUAGGCUGGGAUGCAAGUCAGGUGUGAAAUCUAUGGGCUUAACCCAUAAACUGCAUUUGAAACUGUAUCUCUUGAGUGUCGGAGAGGUAGACGGAAUUCCUAGUGUAGCGGUGAAAUGCGUAGAUAUUAGGAGGAACACCAGUGGCGAAGGCGGUCUACUGGACGAUAACUGACGCUGAGGCGCGAAAGCGUGGGGAGCAAACAGGAUUAGAUACCCUGGUA
RNAcentral lists this ribosomal RNA (437 nucleotides) under uncultured Oscillospiraceae bacterium. RNAcentral describes it as "bacterial SSU rRNA". It matches the Rfam family "Bacterial small subunit ribosomal RNA", at positions 341 to 792 of the family's 1533-position model. Lineage: Bacteria; Bacillati; Bacillota; Clostridia; Eubacteriales; Oscillospiraceae. The record is from RNAcentral.